UUCCUACGGGGCGCAGCAGUAGGGAAUAUUGCUCAAUGGGGGAAACCCUGAUGCAGCGACGCCGCGUGGGUGAAGAAGCGCCUCGGCGCGUAAAGCCCUGUCAGCAGGGAAGAAAAUGACGGUACCUGAAGAAGAAGCCCCGGCUAACUACGUGCCAGCAGCCGCGGUAAUACGUAGGGGGCAAGCGUUAUCCGGAUUUACUGGGUGUAAAGGGGGCGCAGACGGCGAUGCAAGCCAGGAGUGAAAGCCCGGGGCCCAACCCCGGGACUGCUCUUGGAACUGUGUGGCUAGAGUGCAG
RNAcentral lists this ribosomal RNA (298 nucleotides) under uncultured bacterium. RNAcentral's name for it is "partial 16S ribosomal RNA". It matches the Rfam family "Bacterial small subunit ribosomal RNA", at positions 336 to 651 of the family's 1533-position model. The record is from RNAcentral.